This 497-nucleotide ribosomal RNA is filed under the name uncultured bacterium. RNAcentral describes it as "partial 16S ribosomal RNA". It matches the Rfam family "Bacterial small subunit ribosomal RNA", at positions 28 to 507 of the family's 1533-position model. The record is from RNAcentral.
GAUGAACGCUGGCGGCGUGCCUAAUACAUGCAAGUCGAGCGAACGGACGAGAAGCUUGCUUCUCUGAUGUUAGCGGCGGACGGGUGAGUAACACGUGGAUAACCUACCUAUAAGACUGGGAUAAAUUCGGGAAACCGGAGCUAAUACCGGAUAAUAUUUUGAACCGCAUGGUUCAAAAGUGAAAGACGGUCUUGCUGUCACUUAUAGAUGGAUCCGCGCUGCAUUAGCUAGUCGGUAAGGUAACGGCUUACCAAGGCAACGAUGCAUAGCCGACCUGAGAGGGUGAUCGGCCACACUGGAACUGAGACACGGUCCAGACUCCUACGGGAGGCAGCAGUAGGGAAUCUUCCGCAAUGGGCGAAAGCCUGACGGAGCAACGCCGCGUGAGUGAUGAAGGUCUUCGGAUCGUAAAACUCUGUUAUUAGGGAAGAACAUAUGUGUAAGUAACUGUGCACAUCUUGACGGUACCUAAUCAGAAAGCCACGGCUAACUACGUG